RNAcentral lists this ribosomal RNA (485 nucleotides) under uncultured bacterium. RNAcentral describes it as "bacterial SSU rRNA". It matches the Rfam family "Bacterial small subunit ribosomal RNA", at positions 30 to 507 of the family's 1533-position model. The record is from RNAcentral.
AUUGAACGCUGGCGGCAGGCUUAACACAUGCAAGUCGAGCGGGGAAGGGUAGCUUGCUACCUGACCUAGCGGCGGACGGGUGAGUAAUGCUUAGGAAUCUGCCUAUUAGUGGGGGACAACAUUCCGAAAGGAAUGCUAAUACCGCAUACGCCCUACGGGGGAAAGCAGGGGAUCUUCGGACCUUGCGCUAAUAGAUGAGCCUAAGUCAGAUUAGCUAGUUGGUGGGGUAAAGGCCUACCAAGGCGACGAUCUGUAGCGGGUCUGAGAGGAUGAUCCGCCACACUGGGACUGAGACACGGCCCAGACUCCUACGGGAGGCAGCAGUGGGGAAUAUUGGACAAUGGGCGAAAGCCUGAUCCAGCCAUGCCGCGUGUGUGAAGAAGGCCUUUUGGUUGUAAAGCACUUUAAGCGAGGAGGAGGCUACCGAGAUUAAUACUCUUGGAUAGUGGACGUUACUCGCAGAAUAAGCACCGGCUAACUCUGUG